This 206-nucleotide long non-coding RNA is filed under the name Nicotiana benthamiana. RNAcentral describes it as "long non-coding RNA (NBEN_LNC000445)". The record is from RNAcentral. Lineage: Eukaryota; Viridiplantae; Streptophyta; Magnoliopsida; Solanales; Solanaceae.
UACAGCUGAAGUAGAAAACUGUACUCAUCAUGGAGUCGAUAAGCAUCACAAACGAGUACAAUAGUACCAAAAGAGGCCCUUCCCAUAAUCUUGAAGAUCCAUCUCCAUAGCUUAUUGUCUUCACCCUAUGCUCAAACAAACCCUCCACAAUCGCCAUCCCAAUAGUCGAUCCAAGAAAUAUUAGAAGUCCAACUUGUGUCUGCCCC